This 21-nucleotide non-coding RNA is filed under the name Arabidopsis thaliana (thale cress). Lineage: Eukaryota; Viridiplantae; Streptophyta; Magnoliopsida; Brassicales; Brassicaceae. The record is from RNAcentral.
GGAGAGGUGAUGUUGAAUGGC